RNAcentral lists this ribosomal RNA (363 nucleotides) under uncultured bacterium. RNAcentral's name for it is "bacterial SSU rRNA". It matches the Rfam family "Bacterial small subunit ribosomal RNA", at positions 284 to 659 of the family's 1533-position model. The record is from RNAcentral.
UAACCGGCCUGAGAAGGUGUCCGGUCACACUGGGACUGAGAUACGGCGAUAGCUUUCCGGGAGGCAGCAGUGGGGAAUAUUGCACAAUGGGCGAAAGCCUGAUGCAGCGACGCCGCGUGAGGGAUGACGGCCUUCGGGUUGUAAACCUCUUUCACCAUGGACGAAGCGUAAGUGACGGUUCGUGCUGAAGAAGCACCGGCCAACUACUAUGCCAGCAGCCGCGGUAAUACGUAGGGUGCGAGCGUUGUCCGGAAUUACUGGGCGUAAAGAGCUCGUAGGUGGUUUGUCGCGUUGUUCGUGAAAACUCACAGCUUAACUGUGGGCGUGCGGGCGAUACGGGCAGACUAGAGUACUGCAGGGGAG